RNAcentral lists this ribosomal RNA (253 nucleotides) under uncultured bacterium. RNAcentral's name for it is "partial 16S ribosomal RNA". It matches the Rfam family "Bacterial small subunit ribosomal RNA", at positions 524 to 776 of the family's 1533-position model. The record is from RNAcentral.
GACGUAGGGCGCGAGCGUUGUCCGGAUUUAUUGGGCGUAAAGAGCUCGUAGGCGGCUUGUCACGUCGGAUGUGAAAGCCCGAGGCUUAACCUCGGGUCUGCAUUCGAUACGGGCUAGCUAGAGUGUGGUAGGGGAGAUCGGAAUUCCUGGUGUAGCGGUGAAAUGCGCAGAUAUCAGGAGGAACACCGGUGGCGAAGGCGGAUCUCUGGGCCAUUACUGACGCUGAGGAGCGAAAGCGUGGGGAGCGAACAGG